RNAcentral lists this microRNA precursor (63 nucleotides) under Camelus dromedarius (Arabian camel). RNAcentral's name for it is "miRNA (ENSCDRG00005003190.1)". It matches the Rfam family "mir-16 microRNA precursor family", at positions 11 to 73 of the family's 82-position model. Rfam says of the family: The hairpin precursors (represented here) are predicted based on base pairing and cross-species conservation -- their extents are not known. In this case the mature sequence is excised from the 5' arm of the hairpin. Lineage: Eukaryota; Metazoa; Chordata; Mammalia; Artiodactyla; Camelidae. The record is from RNAcentral.
UAGCAGCACGUAAAUAUUGGCGUAGUGAAAUAAAUAUUAAACACCAAUAUUAUUGUGCUGCUU